This 1917-nucleotide ribosomal RNA is filed under the name Escherichia coli. Its description in RNAcentral is "partial 23S ribosomal RNA". It matches the Rfam family "Bacterial large subunit ribosomal RNA", at positions 322 to 2227 of the family's 2925-position model. The record is from RNAcentral. Lineage: Bacteria; Pseudomonadati; Pseudomonadota; Gammaproteobacteria; Enterobacterales; Enterobacteriaceae.
GUGUGUGUUAGUGGAAGCGUCUGGAAAGGCGCGCGAUACAGGGUGACAGCCCCGUACACAAAAAUGCACAUAUUGUGAGCUCGAUGAGUAGGGCGGGACACGUGGUAUCCUGUCUGAAUAUGGGGGGACCAUCCUCCAAGGCUAAAUACUCCUGACUGACCGAUAGUGAACCAGUACCGUGAGGGAAAGGCGAAAAGAACCCCGGCGAGGGGAGUGAAAAAGAACCUGAAACCGUGUACGUACAAGCAGUGGGAGCCUCUUAAUGGGGUGACUGCGUACCUUUUGUAUAAUGGGUCAGCGACUUAUAUUCUGUAGCAAGGUUAACCGAAUAGGGGAGCCGAAGGGAAACCGAGUCUUAACUGGGCGUUAAGUUGCAGGGUAUAGACCCGAAACCCGGUGAUCUAGCCAUGGGCAGGUUGAAGGUUGGGUAACACUAACUGGAGGACCGAACCGACUAAUGUUGAAAAAUUAGCGGAUGACUUGUGGCUGGGGGUGAAAGGCCAAUCAAACCGGGAGAUAGCUGGUUCUCCCCGAAAGCUAUUUAGGUAGCGCCUCGUGAAUUCAUCUCCGGGGGUAGAGCACUGUUUCGGCAAGGGGGUCAUCCCGACUUACCAACCCGAUGCAAACUGCGAAUACCGGAGAAUGUUAUCACGGGAGACACACGGCGGGUGCUAACGUCCGUCGUGAAGAGGGAAACAACCCAGACCGCCAGCUAAGGUCCCAAAGUCAUGGUUAAGUGGGAAACGAUGUGGGAAGGCCCAGACAGCCAGGAUGUUGGCUUAGAAGCAGCCAUCAUUUAAAGAAAGCGUAAUAGCUCACUGGUCGAGUCGGCCUGCGCGGAAGAUGUAACGGGGCUAAACCAUGCACCGAAGCUGCGGCAGCGACACUAUGUGUUGUUGGGUAGGGGAGCGUUCUGUAAGCCUGUGAAGGUGGCCUGUGAGGGUUGCUGGAGGUAUCAGAAGUGCGAAUGCUGACAUAAGUAACGAUAAAGCGGGUGAAAAGCCCGCUCGCCGGAAGACCAAGGGUUCCUGUCCAACGUUAAUCGGGGCAGGGUGAGUCGACCCCUAAGGCGAGGCCGAAAGGCGUAGUCGAUGGGAAACAGGUUAAUAUUCCUGUACUUGGUGUUACUGCGAAGGGGGGACGGAGAAGGCUAUGUUGGCCGGGCGACGGUUGUCCCGGUUUAAGCGUGUAGGCUGGUUUUCCAGGCAAAUCCGGAAAAUCAAGGCUGAGGCGUGAUGACGAGGCACUACGGUGCUGAAGCGACAAAUGCCCUGCUUCCAGGAAAAGCCUCUAAGCAUCAGGUAACAUCAAAUCGUACCCCAAACCGACACAGGUGGUCAGGUAGAGAAUACCAAGGCGCUUGAGAGAACUCGGGUGAAGGAACUAGGCAAAAUGGUGCCGUAACUUCGGGAGAAGGCACGCUGAUAUGUAGGUGAAGCGACUUGCUCGUGGAGCUGAAAUCAGUCGAAGAUACCAGCUGGCUGCAACUGUUUAUUAAAAACACAGCACUGUGCAAACACGAAAGUGGACGUAUACGGUGUGACGCCUGCCCGGUGCCGGAAGGUUAAUUGAUGGGGUUAGCGGUAACGCGAAGCUCUUGAUCGAAGCCCCGGUAAACGGCGGCCGUAACUAUAACGGUCCUAAGGUAGCGAAAUUCCUUGUCGGGUAAGUUCCGACCUGCACGAAUGGCGUAAUGAUGGCCAGGCUGUCUCCACCCGAGACUCAGUGAAAUUGAACUCGCUGUGAAGAUGCAGUGUACCCGCGGCAAGACGGAAAGACCCCGUGAACCUUUACUAUAGCUUGACACUGAACAUUGAGCCUUGAUGUGUAGGAUAGGUGGGAGGCUUUGAAGUGUGGACGCCAGUCUGCAUGGAGCCGACCUUGAAAUACCACCCUUUAAUGUUUGAUGUUCUAACG